RNAcentral lists this transfer RNA (68 nucleotides) under Marmota monax (woodchuck). RNAcentral's name for it is "tRNA.Ala". Lineage: Eukaryota; Metazoa; Chordata; Mammalia; Rodentia; Sciuridae. The record is from RNAcentral.
GGAUUGUGGCUCAAUGGUAGAGCACUUGCCUAGCACAUAUGAGGUCCUGGGUUCAAUCCGCAGCACCA